GACGAACGUUGGCGGCGUGCUUAAUACAUGCAAGUCAACUGAAGCAGUGGUAGCAAUAUCGCUGUGGAGGUGGCGCACGGGUGAGUAACACGUAGGUAAUCUGCCUUCAGGUCUGGCAUAACUCCGGGAAACCGGGGCUAAUAGCAGAUGAUGCAGCGGCUCGACAUCGAGACAGUUGUUAAAGCUAUGGCGCCUGAAGAUGAGCCUGCGUCUGAUUAGCUAGUUGGCGGGGUAACGGCCCAACAAGGCAACGAUCAGUAGCUGGUCUGAGAGGAUGAUCAGCCACACUGGAACGGAGACACGGUCCAGACUCCUACGGGAGGCAGCAGUAAGGAAUAUUGCUCAAUGGGAGAAAUCCUGAAGCAGCAACGCCGCGUGAGGGACGAAGGGCUUUUGCUUGUAAACCUCUGUAGUGAGAGAAAAAAAUCCCAAUCUUUGGGACAUGAUGGUAUCUCAAAAGUAAGCCCCGGCUAACUACGUG
RNAcentral lists this ribosomal RNA (481 nucleotides) under uncultured bacterium. Its description in RNAcentral is "partial 16S ribosomal RNA". It matches the Rfam family "Bacterial small subunit ribosomal RNA", at positions 28 to 507 of the family's 1533-position model. The record is from RNAcentral.